Molecule: transfer RNA, 64 nt
Filed under: Prosopocoilus laterotarsus
Lineage: Eukaryota; Metazoa; Arthropoda; Insecta; Coleoptera; Lucanidae
Also listed under: 1 other name
Description: tRNA-Trp
Source: RNAcentral
AAGGAUUUAGGUUAAAAAAACCCACGGCCUUCAAAGCCGUUAAUAGACCUGUGUCUAAGCCUUA